Molecule: ribosomal RNA, 505 nt
Filed under: uncultured bacterium
Lineage: Bacteria
Description: partial 16S ribosomal RNA
Rfam family: Bacterial small subunit ribosomal RNA
Source: RNAcentral
GACGAACGCUGGCGGCGUGCCUAAUACAUGCAAGUAGAACGCACAGUUUAUACCGUAGCUUGCUACACCAUAGACUGUGAGUUGCGAACGGGUGAGUAACGCGUAGGUAACCUGCCUGGUAGCGGGGGAUAACUAUUGGAAACGAUAGCUAAUACCGCAUAAUAUUAAUUAUUUCAUGAUAAUUAAUUGAAAGGUGCAAUUGCACCACUACCAGAUGGACCUGCGUUGUAUUAGCUAGUAGGUGAGGUAACGGCUCACCUAGGCGACGAUACAUAGCCGACCUGAGAGGGUGAUCGGCCACACUGGGACUGAGACACGGCCCAGACUCCUACGGGAGGCAGCAGUAGGGAAUCUUCGGCAAUGGACGAAAGUCUGACCGAGCAACGCCGCGUGAGUGAAGAAGGGUGUCGGAUCGUAAAGCUCUGUUGUAAGAGAAGAACGGGUGUGAGAGUGGAAAGUUCACACUGUGACGGUAUCUUACCAGAAAGGGACGGCUAACUACGUG